This 396-nucleotide transfer-messenger RNA is filed under the name Flavobacteriaceae. RNAcentral describes it as "UM-FILTER-40-17 sp002841025 Standard tmRNA". It matches the Rfam family "transfer-messenger RNA". From Rfam's summary of the family: Bacterial tmRNA, also known as 10Sa RNA or SsrA, is named for its dual tRNA and mRNA-like properties. Its role is to liberate the mRNA from a stalled ribosome. The record is from RNAcentral. Lineage: Bacteria; Pseudomonadati; Bacteroidota; Flavobacteriia; Flavobacteriales. RNAcentral also lists the same sequence under 1 other name.
GGGGUCGACCGGUUUUGACAGCAGGUCGUAUUUGAUGGUAAGCACGCCGAGCGACGAAACCCUGCUCGUAAAUCUCGAUUUCAAACAUUUAAACGGCGAGUCUAACUACGCUCUUGCUGCCUAAUCCGAAUCACAGUAGGAUUGAGCCAUGUCCCGACCAGGUCGGGAGGCGAGAUUUCUCAGGAAAGCCCUGACCGGCGGCGUUCCGUGUUGAGAAACCGAAAAAGUCGGAAUAAGAAUCGUGGUGCUUCGGAGCGAUUCUGAAAAUUAAGAAGCUAAGUGUGUAGCAGGUAGUUUUCGACCGGCUGCCCAACGAAAACCAAUUGAAAACUAAGCGUGUAGAAAGCUCUUGAAUAGCUUGUUUGGACGAGAGUUCGAUUCUCUCCGACUCCACAA